UACGUAGGGUGCGAGCGUUAAUCGGAAUUACUGGGCGUAAAGCGUGCGCAGGCGGUUUUGUAAGCCAGAUGUGAAAUCCCCGGGCUUAACCUGGGAAUGGCGAUGGUGACUGCAAGGCUAGAGUUUGGCAGAGGGGGGUAGAAUUCCACGUGUAGCAGUGAAAUGCGUAGAGAUGUGGAGGAACACCGAUGGCGAAGGCAGCCCCCUGGGUCAAGACUGACGCUCAUGCACGAAAGCGUGGGGAGCAAACAGG
RNAcentral lists this ribosomal RNA (253 nucleotides) under uncultured bacterium. RNAcentral's name for it is "partial 16S ribosomal RNA". It matches the Rfam family "Bacterial small subunit ribosomal RNA", at positions 524 to 776 of the family's 1533-position model. The record is from RNAcentral.